UCAGCCUUGUAUGGGCAUCUGUGUCCACUCAGUGACUCGGAGUGAGCAUAGACAGCUCAUAAUGGCAUUUGGGCUGAGCUGGAUCUUGCUCUUUGCAAUUUGGAAAGGUGUCCAGGCUGAGUUGCAGCUGGUGGAGUACGGGGGAAGCUUGGUGCCGCCUGGAGGGUCCCUAACCCUCUCCUGUGUGACCUUGGAAUUCCCCUUCAGCAGCUAUGCCAUGGGCUGGAUCCGCCAACCUCCAGGACAGGGGCUGGAGUGGCUCUCACUCAUCUAUCAUGACAGUAGUAAAAUAAACUACGCAAACUCUGUGAAGGGCCGAUUCACUAUCUCCAGAGAUAACGGCCGGAACACGCUGUAUCUGCAGAUGAACAGCCUGAGAACGGAGGACACGGCCCUGUAUUACUGUGCUGCCUACACAGUGAGGAGACCUCAGUGUGAGCCCAGACAAAAAUCUCCGUGCAGGUGGUCUCACGUCCGGCAGGGGGCGGUAUGAUCCAUGGAAAACCAUACUGGGCUGAGGAGCAGGUGCAGAGCAGGAAGCAGGAGAGAGGUUUCCUGGAGCCUCUGUGGUUUCCCUUCUGCAUUAGAUCAUAGCACCUGAUCCCACCCACCGAUGCAUGAGCUGUAAUGAAGUAUGCAAGUCCAAGUCAACACGUGUUCCAUUUAAUCCUUAGGAAUUUCACUUACUGGGUAAACAUGACUUGUACUAAUCUCAAGUUAAGUUGUAAAUUUUGUGAAUAUAGUUUUCUUUUGAAUAUCUAAUCGUCCUCACAUCUAAAAAUCCACCUGUGUGUUUCAUCUCAGUGAUAAGGAAUUGUCUCACGCAUCAAUAAAUG
Cavia porcellus (domestic guinea pig) is the source of this 836-nucleotide non-coding RNA. The record is from the annotation of a RefSeq genome assembly. Lineage: Eukaryota; Metazoa; Chordata; Mammalia; Rodentia; Caviidae.